Nylanderia fulva is the source of this 502-nucleotide long non-coding RNA. RefSeq lists it as uncharacterized. The record is from RefSeq and is a predicted model, not a curated record. NCBI's taxonomy places the organism in Eukaryota, Metazoa, Arthropoda, Insecta, Hymenoptera, Formicidae.
GAAUUUUCGAUGCAUUUUAAUGCCUCGUUUCUCGCUUCUUGCUCGAUCAAGAUUUGUGAUCGUCCCGUGACGUCACGACGUGCAACGACGUGAAGUGCUCGUUGCGUCCCUACAAGUUUUUCGAGUACGUCACGCAUCACGUGAUCAAUUUUGGCGCAAAAUGUAUCACGAGCGCAGUGAAUGUCGGGAGUUAAUCGAGAAUGCCGAAAGUGUAACGACGGACAUUGCCUGGUAUCAAUGAGAAUAUUCAAUGAGCAACGGAACGACCUGACGAGAAAUUGACGGCGAGAACAUAUUAUUCUCUCAACCGAAACAGUGCACAAUUAGGAAUCGUCAAGUGGAUCUUGUAAUUAAUUAAAAUUGUUUGAUAUCCAUGCGAAUGUUCAAUGAUCAACGGAGCGACCUGACGAGAAAUUGGCGGUGAGAACGAAUUAACUCGUAGUGUGAUUCACGCGUCGCGUCGGGAGUGCCGUGUAAAGUAUCGCGCGUCGGGAGUGCCGUG